Molecule: small RNA, 958 nt
Filed under: Pan troglodytes (chimpanzee)
Lineage: Eukaryota; Metazoa; Chordata; Mammalia; Primates; Hominidae
Description: retained intron
Source: RNAcentral
CCCCGUUUGACCCUAUUUUCAGUAUAUCCCCAAAGAUUUAAAGAAAAAAAAAAACUUUUAAAACCUCUUAUACACACCUUGAUCUUUUUGUGGCAGGUCUCUCACCUGAGCUGGCUAGAAAAAAAAACUGCUACAGCCUUGCUUGAAAGCCCUCUCAGUGCCACUGUGGAAGAUGCCCUCCAGAGCUUCCUAAAGGUAUGAGAGGGGCAGGUGGCAGGCAAAAACACCAGGGUAACCUUGUUUUUUCCUAAGGACAUUAUUGAGACCCUUAAUGGGAGGGGUUUUCCUAGUAGGGGGCAAUUUUGUGUUUGCCUGUUCUAUGGGAAAAUCAGAAUCACUUGCACAGCUUAUCAAAAAUAUAGGUUUCUUCAGACCCACUGAAUCAGCCACAUGGUUGGGGACUAGAAAUCUAGUUUAAUAAACUUCAGCCUGAUUAGAAUAUAGGAACCUCUUACUAAAAUAUCUUUGUCCCUUUUCCCAGGCUGAAGAACUACAGCCAGGAUUUUCCAAAGCAGGAAGGGUAUAUAUUUCCAAGGUAAACUCAUUUGUCUACUUCAACAUAGAUCUGGGAACUCCUGAAAGUACACAGUAUCAGGUUUCACUGUUGUCUCUUUUCAGUGCUACAGAGAACUAGGGAAAAACUCUGAAGCUAGAUGGUGGAUGAAGUUGGCCCUGGAGCUGCCAGAUGUCACGAAGGAGGAUUUGGCUAUCCAGAAGGACCUGGAAGAACUGGAAGUCAUUUUACGAGACUAACCACGUUUCACUGGCCUUCAUGACUUGAUGCCACUAUUUAAGGUGGGGGGGCGGGGAGGCUUUUUUCCUUAGACCUUGCUGAGAUCAGGAAACCACACACAAAUCUGUCUCCUGGGUCUGACUGCUACCCACUACCACUCCCCAUUAGUUAAUUUAUUCUAACCUCUAACCUAAUCUAGAAUUGGGGCAGUACUCAUGGCUUCGG